AGCUGAUCCUCUUCGGAGGUGACGCUUGUGGAACGAGCGGCGGACGGGUGAGUAACACGUGGGCAACCUGCCUGUAAGACUGGGAUAACCCCGGGAAACCGGGGCUAAUACCGGAUAAUACUUUUCAUCACCUGAUGAGAAGUUGAAAGGUGGCUUUUAGCUACCACUUACAGAUGGGCCCGCGGCGCAUUAGCUAGUUGGUGAGGUAACGGCUCACCAAGGCAACGAUGCGUAGCCGACCUGAGAGGGUGAUCGGCCACACUGGGACUGAGACACGGCCCAGACUCCUACGGGAGGCAGCAGUAGGGAAUCUUCCGCAAUGGACGAAAGUCUGACGGAGCAACGCCGCGUGAGUGAUGAAGGUUUUCGGAUCGUAAAGCUCUGUUGUUAGGGAAGAACAAGUGCCGUUCGAAUAGGGCGGCACCUUGACGGUACCUAACCAGAAAGCCCCGGCUAACUACGUGCCAGCAGCCGCGGUAAUACGUAGGGGGCAAGCGUUGUCCGGAAUUAUUGGGCGUAAAGCGCGCGCAGGCGGUCCUUUAAGUCUGAUGUGAAAGCCCACGGCUCAACCGUGGAGGGUCAUUGGAAACUGGAGGACUUGAGUACAGAAGAGGAGAGUGGAAUUCCACGUGUAGCGGUGAAAUGCGUAGAGAUGUGGAGGAACACCAGUGGCGAAG
Molecule: ribosomal RNA, 677 nt
Filed under: Virgibacillus halodenitrificans
Lineage: Bacteria; Bacillati; Bacillota; Bacilli; Caryophanales; Bacillaceae
Description: bacterial SSU rRNA
Rfam family: Bacterial small subunit ribosomal RNA
Source: RNAcentral